Molecule: RNA transcript, 3728 nt
Organism: Phyllopteryx taeniolatus (common seadragon)
Lineage: Eukaryota; Metazoa; Chordata; Actinopteri; Syngnathiformes; Syngnathidae
Gene: pde1cb
Gene name: phosphodiesterase 1C, calmodulin-dependent b
Exons: 19
Source: RefSeq, a predicted model, not a curated record
AAGUUAAGUCUUGUAUAAGAUCUGUUAUGUACCUCUUAAUAAUAACUCUUGCCGGUGGAUUAAAAAAUGGCUCACUUCCGGAGCGGGGUGCCCCCUCGGGAGCGGGGUUUGUUGACGGGGCAACUUUCUGCGCGAGUGACGCGUCUGCGGCGGAAAAGCACACCGAGGGAGACGAAGACAUGACCCGGCUGAACUCUGUUGUGCCUCGCUUCGAAUCACGCUCCGCCGCCAUUAGAGGCAAAAUGUCACGGCUGGGGGGGUUGACCUAACCUCUCAGCUGAAGACUUGAAUCGGAACCGCGUGUUUUAGCUAAAAUUGGGCAUCCCUUUUUCUUUUUCUCGCCCACCCCUCCCGCCCAGCGAUGGGCUCCGUGACUUCCGCCCUGACGAGGACACGCCACGCGCUGGUCAAAGUGGGCUCGGAGCCGGAGAGCCACUCUGCGCCCGAGUCGGCCAGGAAGAGUAGUCGCAAGCCUCCCAGCCAAGCCGCUCGACAGACUUCCCGGCCGUUGCUCGCGGAGGUCCUGAGCCGGCAGGACUCGGACGGAGCCAAGAAGUCAGUCGAGGUCCAACAGAACAAACCGAACGUGGCGAACGAAGAUGGCGGAAGCACAAGUCGACCGCAGGCCAAUUUUGCACGCUCAAAGUCCCAGAGUGCUUUAUGGAACGCCAUCACGGCAGGGAUGGGCAUCCAAGGCAAAGAGCAGAAGCCCCCCCAGAAUGACACCAGGAGUCCUGAGGAGAUUCUGGCGGAUGAGCUCCCCCUGAAGGAUGAGGCGGAUGCCACUGAGAAGACCGCCAUCAGGCGGAAGUACAAGAAGACGUCCCAGAGAUUAAGAUGUCUGGUCAAACAGCUGGAGAGAGGGGAGGCUUCCCUGGCCGACCUCAAGAAGAACCUGGAGUAUGCGGCGUCCGUGCUGGAGUCGGUCUACAUCGAGGAGACGAGGCGUUUGGUGGACACUGAGGAUGAGCUCAGCGACAUUCGGUCAGAGUCGGUACCGUCGGAGGUGCGCGACUGGCUGGCCUCUACCUUCACGCGCCAGAUGGGCCUGAUGCUGCGACGCAACGAGGAGAAACCUCGGUUCCGAAGCAUCGUCCAUGCCGUCCAGGCAGGAAUAUUUGUUGAGAGGAUGUACCGACGCACCUCCAAUUUGGUGGGACUCAGCUAUCCCCCUUCCGUUAUAUCUGUGCUUAAGAAUGUUGACAAGUGGUCAUUUGAUGUGUUCGCUCUGAACGAGGCCAGUGGAGAUCACGCGCUUAAAUUCAUUUUCUAUGAGUUGCUCACCAGAUAUGACCUCAUCAGCCGUUUCAAGAUUCCAAUUUCUGCAGUUGUGUCGUUUGUCGAAGCCCUGGAAGUGGGAUACAGCAAGCAUAAAAAUCCCUAUCACAACUUGAUACAUGCUGCUGAUGUUACGCAGACUGUUCAUUACCUAUUACUCAAGACCGGCAUGGUGCAUUGGUUAACUGAGCUGGAGAUCUUUGCCAUGAUCUUUGCUGCGGCCGUGCACGACUACGAGCACACGGGGACCACAAACAACUUCCACAUUCAGACAAGGUCUGACACGGCUAUCCUGUACAACGACCGCUCGGUGUUGGAGAGCCACCACGUGAGCGCGGCCUACCGCCUGCUGCAGGAAGACGACGAGAUGAACAUCCUGUACAACCUCUCCAAGGAUGACUGGAGAGAGCUGCGCGCUCUGGUGGUGGAGAUGGUCCUGGCCACCGACAUGUCCUGCCACUUCCAGCAGGUGAAGGCCAUGAAGAACUUCCUGCAACAGCCUGAGGGCAUCGAUAAGCCCAAAGCCCUGUCCUUACUGCUGCACACUGCUGACAUCAGCCACCCGGCCAAAGGUUGGGACCUUCACAACCGUUGGACCACCUCUCUGCUGGAGGAGUUCUUCAGACAGGGGGACAAAGAAGCGGAGCUCGGCCUUUCCUUCUCACCGCUCUGUGACCGAAAGUCAACAAUGGUGGCGCAGUCCCAGAUCGGCUUCAUCGACUUCAUCGUGGUGCCCACCUUCACCGUGCUGACCGACAUGAUGGAGCGCAUCGUCACGCCGCUCAUCGACGAGGCCUCGCACUCCGCUCUCGCGGGCUUCCGACGCUCCAGUAUGAACAGUAUUAGCUCAGAGGAGGCCAAGAGGCACAGCGUGAAGAGCAUGCCCUCCGACGGCUGCUCGUCGGGCCACAACUCCCUGCUGGCUGUGGACAUGAAGAACUUCAAGGCGCUGUGGAACGAGGAGGUCUACCAGAACAGGGAGCGCUGGAAAGCGCAGGCCACCAAAGAAGCCGAGGAGAGAGCCAAAAGGGACGCGGAGGAGCGAGCCCAGCAGGAAGACACCACGGAGCCUCAGAAGGACCACGCCGACUCCGCCGAGCCCAAAGACGGCGAACAGGAGGCAGGCGACAAGGAGCCUGAGCCCGACGGCGGUGAUGCGGCUCCACCGCCACCCGGGGGCGCCGCCGCACAUAAGAGUCCCUCGCUGCAGAACGGUUAGCCAUGAGAGUUGUCUGAAGGUGCAAACUCUCUGGGAAGUGAAGCGAUCAAAAACACAGCACAUGAUGCGGAGAUCACUAUGGAAUGAGAAUCGCAGCGCCUUGAAUACCUGAGGUGGGGGGUGGGGAUGGGUUGCCAAUCAGUAGGACGUUGUCGCUCCCUGCAGGAAACCGAGAAACUAACUGACGCCUUCACAUCCUUAAGCGUCUCGUUUGUUUGGACUGUACAUAAUACCGCCACACUCCUGUUGUUGUCUCCCUUUAGACUGGAUGGCUUUACAGCAUUUAAUUUGGAGUUCUCUAUAGUUUUAGGCUCUGCGAAAUGUACAUUUAACUGCCAAGUCAGAGAAAUGUUCUUUUUUUUUUUUUUUUUUUUUUUUUUUUGGUGUCCUCCCAGUGCUUUAUCGUUCUUUUUGUACCUUUAAUUUUGCUUUUAAUGUAAAUGGCUCUUAUUGCAAACACAACGGCGUGGAUUUAAUGAAAGAUAUUGUCACAAAAACUUUUUUUUAAAUAUACUGCAUGUUUUGUUUAGCGUUUUUGUUCUUCUCGAUGCCUUGUUGUGUUUUUGUGCUGUAGCAAAGCGUCUUUUAAAUGUCCUGCUUUUUUUCUCCGCCACUCUGCAAAUAAUAAGUCAAAUAUUGCUUGUUGAGCAGAUGUAAAAUAACAAAUCUCCACUUUCGCUGUUAUUCUACAUGUAUACUUGUAGUUAAGAGCGUGAGAAAUGGGCAGUAUUUGCGUUCCCAUAUUUACAUAAUUGUGCACUUGUACAAUUUUAUUUUGGUAUAAACCCAUAGUGCCAAGAUGUUGGCAUGUGAUGUGCAUCUUUGAGGAAAAAAUAUAUCUAAAAAGGGAGAAUUUAACAACAAACCUUCGAAGAAUGAGAGAGAACCUUGUGGAUUAUUUGGGAGCCGUUCUUCUGUUUGACAUGCACUCAUGUUUUUUACAAGAAAGCGACAUAAUGUGCUGUGAAAAGCGACUUUUCUCUUCUACCUGUGUGCCUCUUACUGUACAUGUAACCGCGCCUGUAGGAACCAGCCGUCAUUGUUUCUGCAACCUGUUGAUGUUUUAUGUGCUCUUUUUGUGCUGUAACAAUUAUAUUCCUCUUUGCCUUUUUUCAUCGGCCAGUGAGUUUAAUUUAGUUUACUUUUGUUUAGUCUUGUUAUAUACUGUUGUGGGGUCGCUUCGUUGGAUUCCCCCCCCCCCCCCCGCCCCCCACAAAAUGUAAAUUUCCCC